Molecule: ribosomal RNA, 385 nt
Filed under: uncultured bacterium
Lineage: Bacteria
Description: bacterial SSU rRNA
Rfam family: Bacterial small subunit ribosomal RNA
Source: RNAcentral
AUUGAACGCUGGCGGCAUGCCUUACACAUGCAAGUCGAGCGGCAGCGCGGGGGCAACCCUGGCGGCGAGCGGCGAACGGGUGAGUAAUACAUCGGAACGUGUCCAGUUGUGGGGGAUAACCAGUCGAAAGACUGGCUAAUACCGCAUACGAUCUACGGAUGAAAGCGGGGGAUCGCAAGACCUCGCGCUAUUGGAGCGGCCGAUGUCCGAUUAGCUAGNGGCGGGGUAAAGCCCACCAAGGCGACGAUCGGUAGCUGGUCUGAGAGGAUGAUCAGCCACACUGGAACUGAGACACGGUCCAGACUCCUACGGGAGGCAGCAGUGGGGAAUUUUGGACAAUGGGGGCAACCCUGAUCCAGCCAUGCCGCGUGAGUGAAGAAGGCCU